Molecule: long non-coding RNA, 232 nt
Filed under: Elaeis guineensis (African oil palm)
Lineage: Eukaryota; Viridiplantae; Streptophyta; Magnoliopsida; Arecales; Arecaceae
Description: long non-coding RNA (EGUI_LNC029910)
Source: RNAcentral
CACUAAUUUGGUUGUUCAAACUAUUAAGUUAUUCAUCUCAUAUAUUUUGUUGUAUAUAAAUUGGUCAGGGGUUUCAUUAAGUCAUCUUUAUAAUCUUGGUAGUUCACAUGUCUUGAUCUACAUGCUUGUGUAUGUAUGGCAGCGUAUGUCUUUGUUUGACUGUAUUAUUUGUUUGUUAAGUUGCUAUGAUAGCAUCUAAACCUUUAUAAUUUUAGUGGAACAUGUAGCAAAG